Molecule: ribosomal RNA, 1043 nt
Filed under: uncultured archaeon
Lineage: Archaea
Description: bacterial SSU rRNA
Rfam family: Archaeal small subunit ribosomal RNA
Source: RNAcentral
CGGUUGAUCCUGCCGGAGGUCACUGCUAUCGGGGUUCGAUUAAGCCAUGCGAGUCGAGAGGGUUCAGACCCUCGGCGGACUGCUCAGUAACACGUGGAUAAUCUGCCCUAUGGUGGAGGAUAACCCCGGGAAACUGGGGAUAAUACUCCAUAAGUCAGGAGUACUGGAAUGUCUCCUAACUGAAAGUUGCGGCGCCAUAGGAUGAAUCUGCGGCCGAUUAGGUAGUUGUUGGGGUAACGGCCCAACAAGCCCGUAAUCGGUACGGGUUGUGGGAGCAAGAGCCCGGAGAUGGAAUCUGAGACACGAUUCCAGGCCCUACGGGGCGCAGCAGGCGCGAAAACUUUACAAUGCAGGAAACUGUGAUAAGGGAACCCCGAGUGCCCGUACACGCGGGCUGUCCCGGUGUUUAAAACACAUCGGAAGAAAGGGCCGGGCAAGACCGGUGCCAGCCGCCGCGGUAAUACCGGCGGCUCGAGUGGUGACCACUUUUAUUGGGCUUAAAGCGUUCGUAGCUUGAUUUUUAAGUCUCUUGGGAAAUCUCACGGCUUAACUGUGAGGUGUCUAAGAGAUACUGGGAAUCUAGGGACCGGGAGAGGUAAGAGGUACUUCAGGGGUAGAAGUGAAAUUCUGUAAUCCUUGAGGGACCACCGAUGGCGAAGGCAUCUUACCAGAACGGCUUCGACAGUGAGGAACGAAAGCUGGGGGAGCGAACGGGAUUAGAUACCCCGGUAGUCCCAGCCGUAAACUAUGCGCGUUAGGUGUGCCUGUAACUACGAGUUACCGGGGUGCCGAAGUGAAAACGUGAAACGUGCCGCCUGGGAAGUACGGUCGCAAGGCUGAAACUUAAAGGAAUUGGCGGGGGAGCGCCACGACGGGUGGAGCCUGCGGUUUAAUUGGACUCAACGCCGGGCAGCUCACCGGAUAGGACAGCGGAAUGAUAGCCGGGCUGAAGACCUUGCUUGACCAGCUGAGAGGAGGUGCAUGGCCGUCGUCAGUUCGUACUGUGAAGCAUCCUGUUUAGUCAGGCAACGAGCGAGACCCCG